This 21-nucleotide non-coding RNA is filed under the name Arabidopsis thaliana (thale cress). The record is from RNAcentral. Lineage: Eukaryota; Viridiplantae; Streptophyta; Magnoliopsida; Brassicales; Brassicaceae.
GGAUUUGGUGUCACUGCUAUC